AGUGAACGCUGGCGGUAGGCCUAACACAUGCAAGUCGAACGGCAGCACAGUAAGAGCUUGCUCUUACGGGUGGCGAGUGGCGGACGGGUGAGGAAUACAUCGGAAUCUACUUUUUCGUGGGGGAUAACGUAGGGAAACUUACGCUAAUACCGCAUACGACCUACGGGUGAAAGCAGGGGAUCUUCGGACCUUGCGCGAUUGAAUGAGCCGAUGUCGGAUUAGCUAGUUGGCGGGGUAAAGGCCCACCAAGGCGACGAUCCGUAGCUGGUCUGAGAGGAUGAUCAGCCACACUGGAACUGAGGCACGGUCCAGACUCCUACGGGAGGCAGCAGUGGGGAAUAUUGGACAAUGGGCGCAAGCCUGAUCCAGCCAUACCGCGUGGGUGAAGAAGGCCUUCGGGUUGUAAAGCCCUUUUGUUGGGAAAGAAAAGCAGCAGGUUAAUACCCCGCUGUUCUGACGGUACCUAAAGAAUAAGCACCGGCUAACUUCGUG
RNAcentral lists this ribosomal RNA (492 nucleotides) under uncultured bacterium. RNAcentral's name for it is "partial 16S ribosomal RNA". It matches the Rfam family "Bacterial small subunit ribosomal RNA", at positions 29 to 507 of the family's 1533-position model. The record is from RNAcentral.